RNAcentral lists this ribosomal RNA (483 nucleotides) under uncultured bacterium. RNAcentral's name for it is "bacterial SSU rRNA". It matches the Rfam family "Bacterial small subunit ribosomal RNA", at positions 8 to 491 of the family's 1533-position model. The record is from RNAcentral.
AGAGUUUGAUCCUGGCUCAGGAUGAACGCUGGCGGCGUGCUUAACACAUGCAAGUCGAGCGAAGCGCUUUGGAAAGAUUCUUCGGAUGAUUUCCUUUGUGACUGAGUGGCGGACGGGUGAGUAGCGCGUGGGUAACCUGCCUCACACAGGGGGAUAGCAGUUGGAAACGGCUGAUAAUACCGCAUAAGCGCACAGUACCGCAUGGUACAGUGUGAAAAACUCCGGUGGUGUGAGAUGGACCCGCGUCUGAUUAGCUUGUUGGCAGGGUAACGGCCUACCAAGGCAACGAUCAGUAGCCGACCUGAGAGGGUGACCGGCCACAUUGGGACUGAGACACGGCCCAGACUCCUACGGGAGGCAGCAGUGGGGAAUAUUGCACAAUGGGCGAAAGCCUGAUGCAGCGACGCCGCGUGAGCGAAGAAGUAUUUCGGUAUGUAAAGCUCUAUCAGCAGGGAAGAUAAUGACGGUACCUGACUAAGAAGC